UACAGAGGUGCCAAGCGUUGUUCGGAUUUAUUGGGCGUAAAGGGUGCGUAGGCGGUGAUGCAAGUCGGGUGUGAAAUACCGGAGCCUAACUCCGGAACGGCAUUCGAAACUGCAUCGCUAGAGAUCUGGAGAGGGGAGUGGAAUUCUCGGUGUAGCAGUGAAAUGCGUAGAUAUCGAGAGGAACACCAGAGGCGAAAGCGACUCACUGGACAGAAGCUGACGCUGAGGCACGAAAGCUAGGGGAGCAAACGGG
Molecule: ribosomal RNA, 253 nt
Filed under: uncultured bacterium
Lineage: Bacteria
Description: partial 16S ribosomal RNA
Rfam family: Bacterial small subunit ribosomal RNA
Source: RNAcentral